CACCCUGAGCAUGGCUGAUCUUGUCUGAUCUCAAAAGCUAAGCAGGGUUG
This 50-nucleotide ribosomal RNA is filed under the name Neolamprologus brichardi. The record is from RNAcentral. Lineage: Eukaryota; Metazoa; Chordata; Actinopteri; Cichliformes; Cichlidae.